UACAGAGGCCUCGAGCGUUGUUCGGAAUUACUGGGCGUAAAGGGAGUGUAGGUGGUGAUGUAAGUCAGAUGUGAAAUCCCCGGGCUUAACCUGGGAACUGCAUUUGUGACUGCAUGGCUAGAGUGCGGCAGAGGGGGAUGGAAUUCCGCGUGUAGCAGUGAAAUGCGUAGAUAUGCGGAGGAACACCGAUGGCGAAGGCAAUCCCCUGGGCCUGCACUGACGCUCAUGCACGAAAGCGUGGGGAGCAAACAGG
This 253-nucleotide ribosomal RNA is filed under the name uncultured bacterium. RNAcentral describes it as "partial 16S ribosomal RNA". It matches the Rfam family "Bacterial small subunit ribosomal RNA", at positions 524 to 776 of the family's 1533-position model. The record is from RNAcentral.